GUCUCAUAUCAUUCUGGUCAUACGUAUCUC
Molecule: non-coding RNA, 30 nt
Filed under: Mus musculus (house mouse)
Lineage: Eukaryota; Metazoa; Chordata; Mammalia; Rodentia; Muridae
Source: RNAcentral